Molecule: long non-coding RNA, 883 nt
Organism: Clupea harengus (Atlantic herring)
Lineage: Eukaryota; Metazoa; Chordata; Actinopteri; Clupeiformes; Clupeidae
Source: Ensembl
UACUGUUAUUAAUGUGUGCCUGUGUCCAGGGUUACUGUUACUAACGUGUGCCUGUGUCCACGGUUACUGUUACUAACGUGUGCCUGUGUCCAGGUUUACUGUUACUAAUGUGUGCCUGUGUCUGUGUUUACUGUUACUAAUGUGUGCCUGUGUCCAGGGUUACUGUUACUAUUGUGUGUCUGUGUCCAGGGUUACUGUUACUAACGUGUGUCUGUGUCCAGGGUUACUGUUACUAAUGUGUGUAUGUGUUUACUGUUACUAAUGUGUGUCUGUGUCUGUGUUUACUGUUACUAAUGUGUGUCUGUGUUUACUGUUACUAAUGUGUGUCUGUGGUUACUGUUACUAACGUGUGUCUGUGUCCAGGGUUACUGUUACUAAUGUGUGCCUGUGGUUACUGUUACUAUUGUGUGCCUGUGUCCAGGGUUACUGUUACUAUUGUGAGUAUGAUCUCAAUAUAACUACUACUGACAUUAACAGGUUUUAAAGUUUCAAAUGACCUUGCCUUAGAGGCAAGUCACAGCCUACGCAUGAUUCCAGUGACAAGAGUAGCAGCAGCUAGCAUCUAGCAUCUAGCAGCAGACCUGAGCUCAGCCCCGAGGGCCCUAUGUUGCUCUCAUACAGGACCGUGAGUUACCUGAGAGUAGAAAUGACACGACCGUGAGUUACCUGAGAGUAGAAAUGACACGACUUGAGCAGAGUUGAAGGAUUUCUCAAACCCAUCUUUAUUCUGAGAGCCUGAUCACAUUUAAGUGCAAAUACCACCUUUGAGCACUGUCUGUCUGUCUGUCUGUCUGUCUGGUCAGUCUGUCCACACCACAAUCAGUUCCAUACGUCAGUGCAACUCCCAUCUCCAGCUGUCCAUGUCAGACCCCCCCGACCCAGA